GGUGAGGAAAGAAAGCUCCGAAUGACGUGGUGAGGAAAAACGAAACGAGGCUCUGUCUAGCUCACUCUAGGUCCUGCUUGAGGGCCGGCCGCUGGUACCGCCUCCGGCGUGGCGGAGGAGAGGAGCCGCCGGAGGGACUGCUCUAGCGGUAGACCCUCUAGGAGCAGGCGGACGGGGGGUUUCUGGAGGAGGCGACGGCACGGCAGACGGCACGGACCGCGACGUGGUGGAGGUGGGCGCUGAAGGAGGAGCGGGUGGUGCGGGCGGUCGGGCGGGAGGGAGAGAGGAUGCAGAUGUUAAAGCUGCUGGCGCCGACGAAGAAGUGUCUGUAGUGGAGGAAGCUGGUGGUCCCUCCCCGGCGGUGGGGGGUCUGGCAGCGCGCUGAAGCGGCGGUAUGGAAUUGAGGCUGCCAGAGGACGCUGCCGAAUUAGCAGAAGGUCUAUCUGAUGUUUCGACUAGCUGUUGAUAAGUAGACGUUGGGCCGUUGAGCAGUCAUACCAACGGAGGGCUACGAAAAACCGCGAGGGGAUAGGCGGCACCCCUACGGAAAACCGCGAGGGGCUGGGCACCGGCACCCCUACAUGAGUGUAUCGGGUUGGCCGCUCAUGGCGGACGAUAACGACGUCCUUCGACUUCGUGGUCUACCGAGGAGGGAGCAGAUGUGUAUGUGAAAUCCGAGGUCGGUCGGCGGCCCGGUGAUGUGUAGCUCCCGGGGUUAAACUUGCUUGACGAUAAGAGCGCGCCUGGAAAGUACAAGGCACCAUCGGACGUGACCACGUAUUCGUUGUACUAUUAACGUAAGCUGUGGCAGCGGCUCAGCAAGGCCGUCUACGCGUGAGGUCAACAAGGAUUAAACAGACUAGACAAACUCUACCUACCUUACGAGCCGUACAGGUCAAAACUACUAAUGUUACUACUGCUCGGUUAACAACUAUAGACCUAUUACGUCCUGAUGCUCACGUUCCAGACCCGAAACUUUAUGGCCCAACUUUAUGGCAUACGCCUCGAGUGGAACGUCAAACCUAACAAAAUGGGCGCACUAACACACCACAAAUGAAGAACCCAACCGCUACACCAUCACGACCAGGGCAAACCGGCGACCGAUGAAGUCGAACUGCACCCACCGUCCAACCAACGGUCAAAGCUCCUGUCUCCACCUGAGUAACCAGUCGGUGUAGUCGAGUUCGUUUGAGAACAAGUCGUAUGGAAGAAAGGCUGUGAUCUCCCAAUACAACAGUUACUAACCGGAAAGUAGACUUCUCUUCUAAUACAACACUUGUGCAUCGGAAAGUAGGUUCCCGACAACUGAGACCACCACGACAUCAUACAUAUUGGCCCAGGUGAUACUCGGCUCGGGUGAUGGAUGAAACGACCAUAUAAUUUUUAUUACUACUUCUUCGAGCCUGAUAAAGUACCGACACAAUAUAAAGUAACUUAUAGUAAGACCCGCCUUCACCGACGACACUCACAACUACGAUUUUCAUGUUCAGUAAACCUAGUAGUAAACUUUACAAACGGUUAUAAAGACUGAUUACAGAGACAAAAGAACCUGACUUCUCACCUGAAUAAAAGGGGCAAAUAUAUCACUAGAAUAAUCAUAAGUUAUCAAUCGUUAGAUCCACAGAGAACAGAGACAAAUGACUUGGCUUAUUAACUGAACAGAAAAUUAAGUACACAUGAAAAGAUCUCUAAUGGAUUAAUAAAAAAAUUAUGAUUAAUAAAUUGUUUAUAUGUAAACUAAGGACGAAAACACAAACAAACAAAACAGUUUCCACUUAAAAAAAAACAGUUUCCACUUUACUCCAUCUAAUAGGAGGAAGAACCGACGUUCAACAUGGACUAAAAGGAUUUUCAACCGCGUGAUCAGUUUACUUUACAAGACAAUAACAACAUUAAGACAGAAAAGCAACGUAGUAAACCUUAAUAUAUAAAAAUAAAGUGAAAUCCACGAUUGGCAACAUUCCUUCGUUACGUAGUAUACCAGAACCUAGAAUUUUAUACGAACUCUUUCUUUGAACAUGACUACACGUCUCGGUACUAAAAAAAAAGACACUGACCGCGUUACGCAUACUUAACCCAGGUGAUACUCUACCAAACAUAGAAAAAAUACAUGAGGGAGGGAAAGAAAAAUGAAGCGUAUAAUCCAAACAGAGUUCAGUUUGAAACUAACAAUUGUCCAAUAAUACUGGUUCUUAAAACUAACAAUU
This 2207-nucleotide ribosomal RNA is filed under the name Triticum aestivum (bread wheat). RNAcentral describes it as "partial small subunit ribosomal RNA". Lineage: Eukaryota; Viridiplantae; Streptophyta; Magnoliopsida; Poales; Poaceae. The record is from RNAcentral.